UACAGAAAAAGGCAAACUUAUUGAAAGAUAAGGACGCAAAGUCACGGGUCUACGGUAGGGUAUCCUGCUAGGGCGGCUGGACUGCCUGA
RNAcentral lists this non-coding RNA (89 nucleotides) under Bacillus sp. CECT 9360. Its description in RNAcentral is "c-di-GMP-I". It matches the Rfam family "c-di-GMP-I riboswitch aptamer". From Rfam's summary of the family: GEMM was predicted in a large-scale screen for bacterial structured RNA regulatory elements. Lineage: Bacteria; Bacillati; Bacillota; Bacilli; Caryophanales; Bacillaceae. The record is from RNAcentral.